GCAUCAUGUCACAAUUGCAUGUUUGAAUUCAAAUUUGAAUCUCAAAAGGCUUUAAAAGAUUUGGUUUACACCCUUUUGAGCUUUGGAUUUUCAAACCAAUAGGGCUUAUGCAUAAGAGGGGUUUAGUGCAUAUAUAAGCUAUCCCAUAAUUUUUGGAUAAUUAUUUGGAGUUGAAAACGUAUUAUAUUUAAAUAGAUGUAUGGCCCUAAAGGCAUUUAUAGGGCAAAUGUAUUUUUCUAUAUUUUAUUUUGAGGGGAAACUACUCCCAAAAGUUGUAUCAUGGUAGAACAUGAUUUUACAAAUUUUCUGGAAUUUAUUUGGACCAAUUUGGAGUUCAAAAUCAAAAGAUAUCAAAGAAAUAAGAAAAACAGAAAAGAAAAAGGUUAAAAGAAAAAAAAAAGGGGGAAAUGGACUGGCCCGGCCGUUUUGGGCCGAACCGGCCCAGUCCCGCGCGCGCGCUCGAGCCCG
This 468-nucleotide long non-coding RNA is filed under the name Brachypodium distachyon (stiff brome). RNAcentral describes it as "long non-coding RNA (BDIS_LNC004715)". Lineage: Eukaryota; Viridiplantae; Streptophyta; Magnoliopsida; Poales; Poaceae. The record is from RNAcentral.